AAUAAAUAUGUGUGCCAUCACACGCUGGCAUGGCCAUGGUCUGAAACCAACCACGUCCAACCAAAGAGAGGGAAUGAUUUUUCAAAGUUAUAAGAAGCACGAAGCUAGGAAGAUACACAAAUGAUAAGCAUAUGUGUCUCAUCGACCACACCGUUAAUCUGUCAUUAAUCAUGCAAGUCAACCUUGUUAACUAAUCCACCGAGAAACUGUACUCCUAAAAAGUCCUAACAAGGUUUAUGUUGGAGUCACAUUUCAUUGGAUUCUUAAGAAACAAUGCAAGGAAAACCCGAGACAAGAUCUAGAUUAACUCCCUAACAUUUUACAUGAUCCUACAUGAAUGUUCUAGGCUCUCCUACUCAAAAAAGACAUAAGGUUUUACCACUUGCAUGGGUGGUUAGCCAACUCGAAAAUAAUGAGAAAAGGACGUAUGGUUUUGUCGUCCAUUCGUCUUUCAUCGAAGCUUACUUAAGUUCCCACCUCCCUAUUUUCAUUUUAAUUUUUUCUUUUUCCACCUCUCUUUCUUUGAUUGUUUCCCUUGAAACCGCCUCAACUGCCCCACACUAAUCAUAAACCAAAUAUAAUAUUAUUUUUAUAUGAAAUUAUGUUUUAUCUGUUAAGACAAUAAGUGCUUAUCAAAUAAAAUCUGUUUCUACACAAUCACAUCAAUAUAGAUAGGUAAAUCUCUCACACAUACUAUAAUAUUUAUGCCUCCAUUGCAAUACAUGCGAAAUUUUCUAGUAUAUAUAAGGAACCACAACUACUUGGAUAAUGUUCUUGAAAACUACAAAGUUAAAGUCUUUUUUCCACUUAAUUACCCAUAGUGUAUGCCUUUGGUGGCGAACGAUGCUAACCCACCGUUGAUAUUCUAGACUAGCCUGGGAAACUGUCCGGGAUUGUCGUGAGGUGAUUCA
This 911-nucleotide long non-coding RNA is filed under the name Hordeum vulgare. Its description in RNAcentral is "long non-coding RNA (HVUL_LNC013472)". Lineage: Eukaryota; Viridiplantae; Streptophyta; Magnoliopsida; Poales; Poaceae. The record is from RNAcentral.